ACCUUCUAUUAUAGAAUGAAGUCUUUCAACUGGUGGUAGCAAAAUUAAGAAGCCAAAUGAAAUGAAAUAAUACUGUGAUCUGUUGUUUUAUAUUCAUAAACACUGGUAAUUUAUGGUUGAUUCGAUGGUAUGCUCUAGAUGUGGUAUGAGACGGACAAAUCAGAACUCAUCCUUGCGCAGCUAUUGUGUCUGGAUGCAGGAAAGCCUAGACCUAAAAUUUCCAAAUGCCAUGAAAUGGGUGGUCUCCAGUCGUGGAAUAUCAUUUGAAAAAGGGUUCUCCCAUCUACAAUGUAGCAGCUGGUACGUGCUUGAGUGCAGAGACGGCAGAACAAGGCGCUUAUGUAACAAUGGACAUCUGUACUAGUGAACUGGUUCGUUGGGAUGUCAUUGAAGUCUAAGUCCAACAAUUCAUUCAUAGGAAAGACAAAUCAAAGUCUGUAUUCUGCAGAGAGUUUUAAUUUUUUCGAAUCAAUUUGUGCCUUAAAGGAGGGGCGUCUGUGUCUUACCGUUUUUUAGUAACGCACCAAAAAGUCUCCUCUUAGAAGUAGAAACCAUAGGGAAACACUCACUGAUUGCUAUCAUAGUUUUCAAAGCAGGUAGAAAUGAACUCUUAGCAUGUAUAUCAAUUCUACUUACUUCGGAAACCAACAGAUAGAUGCACAAGGUAAAAAUGUUUUGACUGGGAGCUUGUCAUGUUCCAUAGAGUAGUUAUUUCUGAUAAUGGUAGCAUUAUCAAAGUUAUCGGUAUUUUAAAACAAGAUGCAAGAUAGCACUGAUAGCCUACCAACAACCCGCCCGGCAAAACGUGUGCGAAAACGUUGAAAAAACAUCGUGACAAUGUCCUGUCCUCAAGUAACGUUGCUACAACCCUGUGACGACGUUUUUUCACUCGUUUUGCCGGGCGGGAAGGCCUCUUUUGAAACUUUCACCUCAAAAUGGUUAAAGCAAGGUUUUCACUGAAUCUCACUCUUGGAACUUAUCUUGGAAAUACAAAGUAGGAGAUUUAAAGGAAACCAAACUUUGCAUAGGACCAGAUAGCUUUGAUAUCUCAAGAAUUUAAAGUUGGUAAAAAUGAAAUGAGAAUAUAGUUAUUUCCAAGCUCUCUUUAAUGACCAAUAACAAAAUAUUGGAAGUAAUCCUUGAGACCUUACUUUCUACAAUAGUUCAAUUUCACCUUGUCUUUUUCUUCUUUUAGAUUUCCCCAUCAGUGCAGUACAUUCAUCUUUAUUUGGCAAGGUUAUGAUAAAAAAUUUGAAUUUUUGUCACUGUAUUGCAAAAUCUUUUUUCAUUGGACCAUCAGACUAAAUGAAAAUUUAUUUUGCUUCUUGUUUUCUCAUCAAAAUUUCAUGUAGAACAUGAUCUGUGCCAUGAAAAUUAUUUCAAGUAACGUCUAACUAAGAUGUCAACGUUUCCGUUGCAAAAAUUCAAACUUUCUGCUCACGAAAAAAACCAUGAUCCACUAAUACUAAACUUUACCAACACAGUCUCUGCAGUGUAGGAAAUACGGCAACCUCAAUCUCAGCGCUGUGGCUCAGCUGUUACUUGCUCUUUAUAAUUUCAACAUCAUAGAACGGUAUAGGAACACAGCUCGAUUAACAAGCCUCAAAAUCUUUGUAGUACUCGAUUAGAUUCACCAGACACCCAGAUUUCCAGAUUUCAGUUUUUCUUAGGAGCUGGAAAGUCAAAUUUUUCAUUACCAGUGAAAAGUAAAAACGAUAAUAUCUUAAUCUCUGUAAUUUUCGUUGCGCAAAUCAUGUUUUACAUGAAAUUUUGUUGAGGAAACAUAUAUCAGAAUGCUUUAAUUUGUACCUUGUCUAGUGGUCCAUUCUAUUAAGGUACCUAUUUUUUUAUUUAAUCAUCUAUUUAAUUUUUUUUCUCAAAUGAAUCUUCCACCAUUCUCUGUAGAUAGGAUAGUAAAUCGGCUAGAGAUCUGAUCAAAUAUCUAUUCUGCAAAAUAAUUUCAUAAUUUUGCAUUUUAUUCAUUUUUCAUUUACAAGCCUUUUGGCAGUUAUUUGUAUAUUCUCAUGACUGGGAACAAGCUCCAUUUAAACCAUUUCUACUUUACAUGGACAUAAUCAAACUGGAUAAAAACAGUCGUAGCUCCUCUUUGUCUGUACAUAAAAGACUGAAUGUAGCUAUUAAGAGCAGACCAAAUCAGGUGGACCUAUGAAUGGAAGACAUGAUAAUCUAAUACUCAAGCCUCAAAUGUUACUUUGUCAGAAGAUGAAUUCCUUAAGGAAUUGUUUGUUUUUUGACUUUCUUAAAAUCGAUAUCUUAAGAUCUGAGUGUUUUUAAAUCAAGGUAUAAUUAGCACAUUUUUCUCUUGAUAAUUAUUCUCUAAAUCACUAGGAAACUACUUAGUUCAGAAUUUAGCAAAAUUUUAGAAGUACUCAAUGAUUUCAUUAGAUUUCAAUAAACAACAAAAAAAUGACAGUGAGCCUUACUACUGCUAAAUUACUCCUGUUACUUGUUGGAUUACAGACUUAAGAAUAUUUAUGAAACAUUUUAGGAGUUUAUUUUGCCUUGCAAUGAAAGAUUAUGAAAAAUAAAUCCACUCUCUUUCACUAUGGCAAGGGCUUAAAAAUACGAAAAACUACUGUAAGAACUUAUUAUGCAUGAAUAUUUAGACGUAAUUAUUUUGCAGCACAUAAAUAUCCCCACAGCAAAGGAACCUUUCAGUCUCUUGAAUUUUCUGUUAAAUUCAUAGUGGCGCUUAUCAUUAGGAAAAUUUAGAACUAUUGGUAAAUAAAAACAUUCUUUAUUUCAGUGCCUCUGAUUCUAGAGAAAAUAGAAAAUCAGGGGAAAAAUCUAUCAUCACAAAAAAAUGUUCAUUCUUCAAAGACCAAAAUGUGUAUCAUGGAGUAAGAAACAUAAAGUAUUCUCUUCUAAAAUUGUCAAAUAAAAAAAAAUGUGUGCUCUUUUCCACCAGAGGAACUCACCCCCACUCUUUGGAAUACUCAUUGUAUUUUGAUCGAAUCUCAUUCUCACUCACUGAGAAGAAAAAAAACUAAGUUGUAAGCAAUCAAUUUAGUCUGUAGCAUUUAGUAAUGAAUCUUUCAGGUUACAUGAGGUAACUUGCUCUGUGUCCUCUCUAAUGCAUUCCAGCAGCCCUCAGUUAUUUUUUAAGCUUUGAAGGUAAUUUAGAAAGAGUAGAAUAGAUUGUUUAAUAAUUCUUUGAGGAUUUUGCUCAGAUAUUAAAUUUUGAAAAGUCCCCCUUCCACACCAAUAUUUGAUAUGCCCCAUAAAAAAAUCUUAAUUAUCUCCCAAUGAUGAUUCUGGAAGAUUUAUAUCUGGUAUAAACUUAUUCAGGACCAAAGGAUUUAAAAAUUAGGCGCCUGCUUAGAACUGCCUGUAAAUACUUAUCAAAGUAUGAAAUGAGCAGACUCAAAACAUUCUUCUCUGCUUUAAACUUUUACUCAUAAAAUUGUUAUUUCUUUUUUAUUUUGUUUUAGUAUCUUCUUAAUUUGUUAUUUAUGUGUUAUGGUAUUGAUAAGAAUGCAGGCCAGACUUCCCCAGCUUUUGUUGAACACUUACCUCACUGGACUCUGUAUUAGUGUAGUAUCGAUGGUGAAACUACAGAAAUACGUAUCUCGAUUUACGGCAUUACAGACUACUAUCAUACUUUACUUUCUACAUAAAAAACCAUACUACGUCAUUUCAUGAUAACUUAGAAUUAUUCUAUGUGAAGAAUAUUCUUUAAAAAUUUUAAGCCAUGAUGUUUGUCCAGUUUCCUUUGAAAAAAUAAAUAAGAGGUGAGAUUUAAAAACAUCGCAAUUUAGAUAUGCAGUUUUGCAGUUUCACUGCCGAUAUAUAGUUGUCUGGUUAAUCAUCAAGAUUAAUUAAUAAUUAUUUCUGCUUAGGCCAAACUUUUUAUUCGUGCAACUCAUGAAUUAGUUUUUUCUAACAUAUACACAUUUGUAUGUCUGAUUUUGAUUUUUAUGUUUUUCAAGUUAAGCUAGCAAGAUUUUAGCUGAACUUUUGUUAUUUUUCUACCUACUUGUUGUAAAUUUUUGCAGAGUGCGCUUCAAAUCACUAACUGAGAACUGUGAUUUUUAGCAUGUCUACUCUGCUUCUGUUGUAAAGGAUGGCAGAAUAUGCUGUGCCUGUGAUAUUUAAUGAUUUUAGAAUUCUCAAAAAAUUUUGGGUUCUGAUAAUGUUUUAUUUUUGUACCAUUGAAAGAACUUGAUGUCUGGGGGUUGACUGAAUCAAGUUUGGAGAGUGUAAUAAUAAAACAACGGAAAAUGUGUUAGGAUUAGAAGAAAGAAACUGUGAAAAAUUCAUGGUGAAUCAUUCUUCAUCACCGUCAUCAUUCGUUUGAAUGAUGAAUUCUUUUAAAAGAAGUGAGAAAAAACAUUCAGUGUCAAAUAAUUUGAUAUCUUUUUUGUAAAUUUGUAAUCUUGUCGUCCUGUACCUUUGAAACUACAAGUAAAAUUAGCUUCGGUAUAUAAUUCAGUCAACCUCUAGCAAAUGUAGGAAGUUACUCAGUUAGGAAUCUCAAGAAAUGCAAAGAUGUAUUUCACCCUUAAAAGACGAAUCUCUUUUGUACAAUUCUUGAAAUAAAAUGUUGUUUUUAUUUUAGUUUUGACUUUUUUUAAUUCUUUUCAUCAGUAUAAUUUUUAGUUUGAGCGUUUCCCUAUUCUUACUUUUCCU
This 4650-nucleotide long non-coding RNA is filed under the name Bemisia tabaci. RNAcentral's name for it is "lncRNA ENSSSA1NGG003733". The record is from RNAcentral. Lineage: Eukaryota; Metazoa; Arthropoda; Insecta; Hemiptera; Aleyrodidae.